AAAAGAACAGCGUUUUGCUCGCUUUUCAUAGUUUCAUCAGUGUGUAACGGACCGCAAUUGUUGCCGCUGUUCCUGAUUAUAAUAGUAUAGUACUGCAUUCGUAAACUGUCCUUAGGGGUAUAUACCACAGUGAAGAUAUCAAAAUGGGUGAUAAACGAAGAAAAACUGUAGUGACUAUGGAGAAGAAAUUACGCGCUAUACAGCAACUAGACACUGGUGUAACAGCAAAAAUUAUAGCUUCAGAGUUAGGAGUUGGAAAAAGUACAGUAGGGGACUGGAAAAGAAAUCGAUCUGAAAUUGAAAAGUGGUGUCUUGCACAAGCUAGUGGAAGUGGAAUAAAAGUAAGAAAAACAAUGCUGAAAGGUAAGCAUAAAGAAGUUGAGGAAGCUUUAUUUGUGUGGUAUGAGCACUUCAAAGAAAUAGGUGUACCUGUAACUGGGCCUAUAUUGCAGAAAAAAGCUUUGGAAAUUAAGCGACAAAUAGAAGGGCAUGAUUCAGAUUUUACAGCCAGUGAUGGAUGGUUAGAUCGCUGGAAAAAACGAUUCGGCAUUCGCCAGAUUACCAUAAGUGGGGAAGCAUUAUCUGCUGAUAAAGAGGCUGUGCCUGUGUUCAAAGACUACCUUCUCAACUUUAUAGAAAAAAAGGGAAUUUCUGAGGAGCAGUUAUACAGCUGCAAUGAGACAGGUUUAAAUUAUAAGAUGCUCCCUGCCAAAACAUUUGUAUCGAAAAAAGAAGCCGCUGCACCAGGAUACAAGAAAAGUAAGGAACGAGUCACCAUUUUGGCUUGCAGUAAUGCAACUGGCAAUCACAAGCUCAGGUUGACGUUAAUAGGAAAAUCUAAGAAACCUAGAGAUUUUAAAAAUCUGGAAUCACUACCCGUAUAUUACAAAUAUCACGAAAAAGCAUUGAUGAAUUCAGAAAUUUUUAAAACCUGGUUCCAAAAUGAAUUCGUACCAGCUGUAGAAAAACAUCUUAAGAACAACAACUUGCCAAGAAAAGCUUUAUUAAUUCUUGACAACGCACAUUCGCAUCCGGCCACUGACGAACUCGCAGAUGGGGACAUCAAAGCUUUAUUUUUACCACCUAAUGUAACAACUAUUUCUCAGCCCAUGGACCAGGCAGUCCUUGUACAACUAAAGAAAAAAUUUCGCCGGCGUCUUCUCAGUUCAUUGAUAUCAGCGAUUGAUAAUAAUGGAGACUACGUAACCAUUCUGAAAAAUAUUGACAUGCUAGAUGUCAUAAGGUGGUCGUCGGAAGCAUGGGAAGAGAUUCCGAACAUAUCACUUGUAAGGUCUUGGAAAAUACUUUUAGACCAUGAAGAUGGAUAUUUCAACCCUGAACCAAUGUGUGAAAUAGAAAUGGAAGAUGAAAACGCUAAACUUGUUGCAUUGCUGGAAAAAGUGCCGGGCUGUGAAGAUAUCACUGCAAAGGACAUUACAGAUUGGAUGGCAAACGACGAAAUUCAUGAAAUAACUGAUAACGAUUUUAUGGGAAUUGUGAAACAAGAAGUAAUGGAGGAAGAGGAGCAAGAACCCUUAGAUGAUAGAAAAAAUCUCAUACCACAUUCAGAAGGGCUCAAGAGGAUUGAGGCAGCAUUGCAAUAUAUUAGUCAGCAGGAGGAAUCGACGCCGACUGAUAUCAUCUGUUUGCGUAAGUGGAUGGACAUAGCGUCGCGAAAGAGAGCUACAAUGUAGAAGGAGUCAUCUCUUAAGGAUUUUUCCAAAAACUGCAUGAUUUAUGUACAAGCAGAAGAGACGAAACACAUCACGCAUAACGACACAAGAGAAAAUGAGGAAAAGCUAAUGAAAAUUUUAUCCCUGUGAAUAUAUACUGUGUCAUUUUGAUAGGGAUUUCCUACACAUGUCGAAUUUAGUUUCGAGUAAGUCAUUUGGAGGAAUACAGAGAAAUUUUGCGAAGAUUCUCUAAAAGUGUUGAUCUGCCGUUCGUGAAACAGGAUGACAAGUGACAAGAAGAUGAUGAGGAAGGUCAGUGAUUGACUACCUGUGGCUAAGGGCCAAUCACCUGGAAGAGGAUGCCAGUUCGGAGAAUUUGCCUGUAAUAUGAUUGGAUUAUGAUAAAGACAGCAGUGCGGCCACAAGAAAUCCUGUCGCUACUGCUUCGUUCAGUGGUGGCGGGGUGGUUGGCUGUACACAAGAAGUUUCGAGUGAAGUCUAAUGUGGUUGAUGAUGCAUUGAAAGGUUCCUGUGAUUGAGUUAUUCCUGGUAUUUUUCUUAAACGGAACAUUUUUCUAUAACCGGAUGGGGAAAAUAGUUUUAAUUCUGGUAGAAAUUCUAACCAGGCGUGUUUCUAUCAAGCAUUUGGCCAGACAUUCUGUGCAAUCAAAUCUCUGAAUAUAAUGUACCCAUACCUGUAAACAAUAUAUUUAUAAAUCUGAAUAAAUAUUUAGUCUAGAU
Argiope bruennichi is the source of this 2414-nucleotide RNA transcript. It is a transcript of the gene named jerky protein homolog-like, with no coding region annotated. The transcript has 4 exons. Lineage: Eukaryota; Metazoa; Arthropoda; Arachnida; Araneae; Araneidae. The record is from RefSeq and is a predicted model, not a curated record.